UAGAUGUUUGUUAUAUACUUACUUAUUAUAAAAAAUACUUUUUUUUUACAAUAAUCAUGCUUUACUUUUCUUAUUCAGACUCCUUUCUAAAGAUAAAGUCCUAGAAGUAGGAGAGCUGGGUCAAUGGAUACAUCCUUUUAAUGACACUGAAUACAUAUUGCCAAAUUGCCCUUAAGAAGAUCUCACUAUCAAAACAUUGAAGAGAAACCACUGCUCAUCUGCCAGCCUCACAGCCAGAGCCACUUCAGCUACCAUCCCAGAAAAGCCCACCUAUCAGGAUUCUGGACAUUUUCCUCAGAGACCCUUGGGCUUCCUUUCUAAAUAAAU
Molecule: long non-coding RNA, 327 nt
Filed under: Vulpes vulpes (red fox)
Lineage: Eukaryota; Metazoa; Chordata; Mammalia; Carnivora; Canidae
Description: lncRNA (ENSVVUG00000026449.1)
Source: RNAcentral